Long non-coding RNA from Arachis duranensis, 1460 nucleotides. RefSeq lists it as uncharacterized. The record is from RefSeq and is a predicted model, not a curated record. The transcript is spliced from 6 exons. Lineage: Eukaryota; Viridiplantae; Streptophyta; Magnoliopsida; Fabales; Fabaceae.
UGACUCUCUCUGACUCAAUCUGACAACUCACAAGUCACAGAGGCAAAGCUCUCAGCAUCUCAUUCUCUCACUCAGUUUGUCACCGCCACCGCACGUCGCCGGUUUCUUUGCAUCGUCUGUCGUCUCCUGUACAUCUCCUUCACUGCGCCGUCGCCUAUGUCCGUGGUUCGCCCUCACCGCGUUGGCGCAUCUCCUUACUCUGUCAAUCUCACAGUCCCAAAAGAACCACCAGCCACCGCCACCGCACGGUUGCUGCCACGAUCAUCGGCUCCUCUGCUUUGUCCCCGUCACUGCAUCGUCGCCUCCAGAAGUCCUGUGCGUGUGUCAUGUAUUGUCGUCGACGCCGUUCUCUCUUCUCGUCGUUGGCUCGUCUGCAUCUGCCGGUUCCUGCACCUUUGGCCUCCGUUCACGUCGCAUUGUCCCUGCGGCUUCACUUCGUCCACCAUGCUAUGAAAUAUGAACCCUUGACUUCCCUUGUUUUCCAGGGCUUGAUGGACCUGUUGUGCAGCUAUCAAAAGAUCCGACGAUGAGCUUCCAAUUUUCAGCACCUGAUUGUGUAUUAUCAAGUUUAAUUGUGCUUGCUACCUAUGCUGUUGUGUAUUAUCAAGAGAAUCAUAUGUACACCAUGUGAUAUAAAAGGGUUGCAGUGAAGGCAAAGCGUCUCGACUUUUUUAUGUGUCUGGUGAAAAGAGCCUUGAGCAAAUUGGUAACAGAGCAGAACGCCUUAGGAUUAAAUCAGAUACAUAUUUAUAUUCAAGUACUGAUAUUGAGGUGAAAAUAUGGAUUUCUUUUGAUGAGUUUUGCUGCUAGCAUUCUUCUUGCUAUAUUAUUUUCUGUUUUAUACAUGGAUUUUUAUUGAAGUUAUUGUCUGGGUCCUAUUAAGCGAUUAUUUCAUGUAAUAGCCUUAACUUGCGAGAACUGUAUGGUGAAGUCUAGAUACUUGUAUGCUUUUUAUUUAAUUUAGUUUUCAGGACAUAUUGAAGAAAGAUCAGCUUCUUUCCCCUCGUGCUAUGGUUGUUGAUUCAAUACAAACUCUUGAUCCUAUCAACACUUGGUUAGAGCAAAAAGUUAAGUUGAAUGAUGUUGAACACAAGUUAAAAGAUCAAGGACGUCAACUAAAGGUUCAACAGAAGAGAAUUGGUUCUACUAAAAAGACAAUUCAUCUUUGUAUAAAAAGUUGAAUCUCUCACUUCCUUCAACCUUGUCUGAUCCUACAGAAGAUGAGCUUGGGACAGGCUCUAGUGAUGAUGUGGAUGAUAACAUAAGUGAUUGAUGUCAGGAGUUUUCUGAUUUAGAUUAAGAAAUUUUUAGGUGAAUUAGUUAGUACAUUUUAUUUUAUUCUAUUCAUGAUAUUUGACCUUUUUAAAGGUUUUCUUUGUUUUAGUUUAAGUAUUUUUUUCUUAUUUUAGUUUGAUUAUAUUUAUGGACAAAAGUAUUUUAAUAAUAAAUAUUUUUUUUAA